CUACUGCAUCUAUUCUCUCUUUAUUUUUCUCUUUUAUUUCCUUCCAUUUUCUACUUUUUAACUAGCUUUUUUUCACCUUCUUCCAAUCAUUCAUGUUUAUAUUUCCCACUGUUAUCAUAAGUUCUGUCCUGAGAAUUUCAGUGGUAUAUAAACAGCCAUCGGUAUCUUUGAUUUUUUGUUUUGAAUUUAGGUUUUAUUUUGUCGAUUUUUUAUUCAAAUGGGUUGAUUUUGCAUUCAAUUUUGCAGAUCUAUUUAGCCUUUGAGUUGUAGUAGUGUUGCAUGCACUGGAUUUAGAGUUAAUUGGAUGGUAUUGCUUUUGGUUCUUUUGCUCCUUCUGACUUUGUAUUUACUUCAAGGAGAAAUCAUAGAAUUGCAAACAUGAGAUGGAGGGAUUGAGUAUAGGAACUUCAUAUUCACAAAAAUAUACUGAAUUUCUUCGUUUUCACAUGGAUUCUACUUGGUAUCUUUCAACCAAGCACCAAUCGAUGGAAUCUCAUCACGUGUCACUUUUCAACCAUCAGAUGAAAUCAUGUUGGUGAAUCUUAUUUCGCAGAUCGACAGUGAAACCAUUGAAGAUUGAGCCUAAGUUCAAUGGAUGAAUAGUUUCCUCAGCAUCAAACGUGCAUAAUCAAAUCACAGACAAGCACUUACUCAUGUCUCAGAGUGUAUUAUAGAGUAAGCAAAUUGCUACCUUAUCAUGAAGGAGAUAUAGCAGGAUAAAACUUACUGCAUAUUUGAGGUAAAUGAUUUGCUUCUUUAAACAGAUUAAUGAAGAAAACGGUGAGCCAAAACCAAAGGGGCAUCUCAGGUGAGUUGAAAAUUAAAAUAGAUAUUUGGCACAAAAACUAACCAAUUCAAUAUUAUGCCUAGCAGCUUCCUUUCUCAAUAUUUCAGUUUCCUCUACAAGAACAUCUGGAACAACAAGUCCUGAAAAAACACAAAAUUAUCUACAACCAUGAGACAUGACAAUUCAGAAUGAUGUACAAAUUAGGGUAGGUCAAUGGUAUGAAAGAAGACUUCAUUAUCAGCACCAUAUUGGAAAUACCACA
This is a long non-coding RNA of Solanum stenotomum, 1049 nucleotides long. RefSeq lists it as uncharacterized. The transcript has 3 exons. Lineage: Eukaryota; Viridiplantae; Streptophyta; Magnoliopsida; Solanales; Solanaceae. The record is from RefSeq and is a predicted model, not a curated record.